UGAAGAGUUUGAUCCUGGCUCAGAUUGAACGCUGGCGGCAUGCCUUACACAUGCAAGUCGAACGGCAGCACGGGAGCUUGCUCCUGGUGGCGAGUGGCGAACGGGUGAGUAAUAUAUCGGAACGUACCCUAGAGUGGGGGAUAACGCAGCGAAAGUUGCGCUAAUACCGCAUACGAUCUACGGAUGAAAGUGGGGGAUCGCAAGACCUCAUGCUCAUGGAGCGGCCGAUAUCUGAUUAGCUAGUUGGUAGGGUAAAAGCCUACCAAGGCUUCGAUCAGUAGCUGGUCUGAGAGGACGACCAGCCACACUGGAACUGAGACACGGUCCAGACUCCUACGGGAGGCAGCAGUGGGGAAUUUUGGACAAUGGGCGCAAGCCUGAUCCAGCAAUGCCGCGUGAGUGAAGAAGGCCUUCGGGUUGUAAAGCUCUUUUGUCAGGGAAGAAACGGUGGACUCUAAUACAGAUCACUAAUGACGGUACCUGAAGAAUAAGCACCGGCUAACUACGUGCCAGCAGCCGCGGUAAUACGUAGGGUGCAAGCGUUAAUCGGAAUUACUGGGCGUAAAGCGUGCGCAGGCGGUUGUGCAAGACAGAUGUGAAAUCCCCGGGCUCAACCUGGGAAUUGCAUUUGUGACUGCACGGCUAGAGUGUGUCAGAGGGGGGUAGAAUUCCACGUGUAGCAGUGAAAUGCGUAGAGAUGUGGAGGAAUACCGAUGGCGAAGGCAGCCCCCUGGGAUAACACUGACGCUCAUGCACGAAAGCGUGGGGAGCAAACAGGAUUAGAUACCCUGGUAGUCCACGCCCUAAACGAUGUCUACUAGUUGUUGGGUCUUAAUUGACUUAGUAACGCAGCUAACGCGUGAAGUAGACCGCCUGGGGAGUACGGUCGCAAGAUUAAAACUCAAAGGAAUUGACGGGGACCCGCACAAGCGGUGGAUGAUGUGGAUUAAUUCGAUGCAACGCGAAAAACCUUACCUACCCUUGACAUGUACGGAAUCCCUGAGAGAUUAGGGAGUGCUCGAAAGAGAACCGUAACACAGGUGCUGCAUGGCUGUCGUCAGCUCGUGUCGUGAGAUGUUGGGUUAAGUCCCGCAACGAGCGCAACCCUUGUCAUUAGUUGCUACGAAAGGGCACUCUAAUGAGACUGCCGGUGACAAACCGGAGGAAGGUGGGGAUGACGUCAAGUCCUCAUGGCCCUUAUGGGUAGGGCUUCACACGUCAUACAAUGGUACAUACAGAGGGCCGCCAACCCGCGAGGGGGAGCUAAUCCCAGAAAGUGUAUCGUAGUCCGGAUUGUAGUCUGCAACUCGACUACAUGAAGUUGGAAUCGCUAGUAAUCGCGGAUCAGCAUGUCGCGGUGAAUACGUUCCCGGGUCUUGUACACACCGCCCGUCACACCAUGGGAGCGGGUUUCACCAGAAGUAGGUAGCCUAACCGUAAGGAGGGCGCUUACCACGGUGGGAUUCGUGACUGGGGUGAAGUCGUAACAAGGUAGCCGUAUCGGAAGGUGCGGCUGGAUCACCUCCUUU
Molecule: ribosomal RNA, 1529 nt
Filed under: Herminiimonas fonticola
Lineage: Bacteria; Pseudomonadati; Pseudomonadota; Betaproteobacteria; Burkholderiales; Oxalobacteraceae
Description: bacterial SSU rRNA
Rfam family: Bacterial small subunit ribosomal RNA
Source: RNAcentral